Molecule: long non-coding RNA, 497 nt
Organism: Engraulis encrasicolus (European anchovy)
Lineage: Eukaryota; Metazoa; Chordata; Actinopteri; Clupeiformes; Engraulidae
Exons: 3
Source: RefSeq, a predicted model, not a curated record
UUGAGUAGUGAUGCAGCAGAUGUAGCCCUUGUGUAUCUGACUUCAGUUCUGGGUAGAAACCCCUUACUGCUGACAGAGCUGGACCUGAGAGGGAAGAUAUCAGGAGACUCAGGAGUGAAGCAGCUCUGUGCUCUACUGGAGGAUCCACACUGCAGAUUCAAGAAAGUCAACUUGUCAGACUGUGGUGUAACAGGAGAAGGAUAUGCUGCUCUGGCUGCAGCUCUCAAAUCAAACCCUUCACACCUGGAGGAGCUGGACCUGAGAGGAAACGACCCUGGAGACUCUGGAGUGGAGCUUCUUACGUCAGCAGUGACCAAUCAGAAGUGCAAACUCAGGUUGUUGUCUGAUGAAGCAGAGAGAGCCUGUGAGUAUCUGACUUCAGUUCUGGGUAGAAACCCCUUACUGCUGACAGAGCUGAGCCUGGAUGGGAAGAUACCAGGAGACUCAGGAGUGAAGCAGCUCUGUGCUCUACUGGAGGAUUCACACUGCAGAGUCAA